CAGAUCAAAACUCCAGAAAAAGAGCUAAAUGAAAUGGAGAUAAGUAAUUUAUCUUUCAAAACACUGGUUAUAAAGGUGCUCGAGGAACUUCGUGAGGGCCUCAACAGCAUAAGAACGAUCCAGUCAGAAAUGAUGGAUUUGUUCAUUGAAAUAAGGAUGACAGACUUCUUUCCAGAAGGAAUAAAUAUACAAUUGGGUUGUGUAACAUUAUAAAGGUAUUUAAAGAACCUCCCCCCCAAACCUCUCAACCUGAAAUUUUAUGCCCGGUGAAACUAUCUUUUAAAAAUCAAGACAUACUACUCUCCAACAUAUAGAAGCUGAAAGUUUUUUUUUUGCCAGUAGAAGAAAUGUUAGAGGUGGUCAUCCAGGUACAAGGAAAAUAAUGCUAGAUGGAAAUAUGGAUCUACACAAAGGAAUGAAAAGAUAUGGAAAUGAUAGAGAAGAUUUUUUCAUAUAUAUGUAUAUUUAUAUCAAGAUAAUUAUUUAAGCCAAAAGAAUAACUGUGUUGUGGGGUUUAUAAGAUAUAUGUAAAUAAAACGUGAUGGCAAUAGCCUAAAACCAAGUGGAGAAAAAUAUAGGUGUACUAAUGUCAAAUUGUUAUACCUGAAAUGUUGUAAUAUCACUUGAAGGUAGGCUGGGAUAAAUUAAAGGUAUAUUUUUUAAGCUCUAAAGCAACUACUAAAAUAACCAAAGUUUUACUAGUAAGCCAGUGAAGAGAUAAAGUGGAAUCAUAAAAAAAAAUAGUUGAAAAGAAGGAAUGGGAACAAAGGACAGAUGAGACAAAUAGAAGUAUAUAGUAAGGUGGUAGACUUAAACCUAACCACAUUUGUGAUCACUUUAAAUGUAAAUGUGUAAGCACUCCAAUGAAAGAUUAUUGGAUUGGAUAAAAAAAGCAAUAUCCAAUGAUUUGCUGUCUACAACAAACUCACUUUAAAUAUAGAGGCGCAACUAGAUUAAAGGUAAAAGGAUGGAAAAAGAUAUACCAUGUGAGUAAAAAAAUGAAAUGACUAUAUUAAUAUCAGACAAAGUAGAUUUUAGAACAUAAAAUAUCUCAGAAUAAAGAUCAUUUGAUGAUAAGGGAGUUAAUUCAAGUGCAUACUUAUUAACAUGCAUGUAAUAACUAUGAAAAUUAGUGAAGCAAAGGACUGCAAGGAGAAAUAGUCAUAAUCAUAGGUAAAGAUUUCAGUACCUCUCUCAAUAAUGGAAUAGGUAGAUAGAAAAUCAGUAAGGGUAGAGAAGACCUGAACAGUACUGUCAACCAACCUGAUCUCAUUGACAUUUCUAGAACACUGUAGUAAAUAAGCAGAGAUUGAUAUCUUUAGAACACUCAUCCAUUAACAGCAGAGUAUGUUCAUUUCAAGUGCAUAUGAAACAUUUGCAAAGAUAGACCAUAUUCUGCAUCCUAAAAUAGUCUCAAUAUAUUUAAAAGAAUUGAUGUCAUAUAAAGUAUGUUCUCUGACUACUUUAAAUUCGAAGUCAUUAACAAAGAUACAAAAAAUUCUCUGUAUUUGGAAACUAAUAACACUUCUAAGGAGCACAUGGACCAUAGAAGAAAUCAAAGGGAAAUUAGAAAGUAUGUUGAGAAAAUAAGUAUGCUGAACAGAAUGAAAUGGCAUCACAACAGAAUCUGUGGGAUGCUGCUAAAGCAGUAUUAAGGGGAAAAGUCUAGCACUAAAAACCUAUAUUAAAAAUAAAGGUCUUAAAUCAGUGGCCUCACCUUAUGAAACAAA
This is a long non-coding RNA of Phyllostomus discolor (pale spear-nosed bat), 1730 nucleotides long. RefSeq lists it as uncharacterized. The record is from RefSeq and is a predicted model, not a curated record. The transcript has 2 exons. Lineage: Eukaryota; Metazoa; Chordata; Mammalia; Chiroptera; Phyllostomidae.